GGACCAGGAACUGCCAUCCUUGCAUGACUCCAUCCCUUCCCCCAUUAUUCUCUAUGCACAACUUAAGGUAUAAAAACUACUUUGGAAAAUAAAGUGCAGGCCUUGUUCACCAAAACUUGGUCUCCCCAUGUCACUCUCUCUCUCAAAUUCUGGCUGAGUCUCCAUCUGGAGCGCGGAACCCGCCAUGCUUGCUAAUUAUGCCUGGGCUUCUAAGAUCCGACCGGGGAGGCCUCAGUGUCUCCUCUCCUUCGGGAGAACGGAAGGACACCUGCGGCCUACUUGUCAAAGUUCUUUCACAUAACUCUCCACUUCUAAUGAACUGGUGAGAUAGAGACAAUAAGAACAUAUUUACAGAAGGGACCAUAAGAACAUCCUGAGAAGAACUCAACAUAGAAAAAGAGAAUCAAGACCAUUACAUAUAAGUUGGUCAGUUACUAAGUCAUGUCUGACUCUUUGAGACCCCAUGGACUACAGCAUGCCACGUCUCCUGGUCCCUCACUAUCUCCUGGAGUUUGCCCAAGUUCAAGUCCAUUGAAUUGGUGAUGCUACCAACCAUCUCAUCCUCUGCCACAGAGGUUGCCUUUUGCCUUCUCCUUUUGCCUUCAGUCUUUGCCAGCAUCGGUGUCUUUUCCAGUGAGCUGGCUCUUGGCAUCAGAUGCCCAAAUUAUUGAAGCUUCAACAGCAUGAGUCCUUCCAAUGAGUAUUCAGGGUUGAUUUCCUUUCAGGUUGACUGGUUUGAUCUCCCUGCUGUCCAAGAGACUCUCAAGAGUCUUCUCCAGUACCACAAUUUGAAAGCAUCAAUUCUCAGUGCUCAGCCUUCUUUAUGGUCCAACUCUCACAUCCAUUCAUGACUACUGGAAAGACCAUAGC
Molecule: long non-coding RNA, 870 nt
Organism: Bos taurus (domestic cattle)
Lineage: Eukaryota; Metazoa; Chordata; Mammalia; Artiodactyla; Bovidae
Source: Ensembl